AUUGAACGCUGGCGGAAUGCUUUACACAUGCAAGUCGAACGGCAGCACGGGGGCAACCCUGGUGGCGAGUGGCGAACGGGUGAGUAAUACAUCGGAACGUGCCCAAUCGUGGGGGGAUAACGUAGCGAAAGCUACGCUAAUACCGCAUACGAUCUACGGAUGAAAGCGGGGGAUCGCAAGACCUCGCGCGAAUGGAGCGGCCGAUGGCAGAUUAGGUAGUUGGUGGGGUAAAGGCUCACCAAGCCAACGAUCUGUAGCUGGUCUGAGAGGACGACCAGCCACACUGGGACUGAGACACGGCCCAGACUCCUACGGGAGGCAGCAGUGGGGAAUUUUGGACAAUGGGCGAAAGCCUGAUCCAGCCAUUCCGCGUGCAGGAUGAAGGCC
RNAcentral lists this ribosomal RNA (387 nucleotides) under uncultured bacterium. Its description in RNAcentral is "bacterial SSU rRNA". It matches the Rfam family "Bacterial small subunit ribosomal RNA", at positions 29 to 416 of the family's 1533-position model. The record is from RNAcentral.